GACGAACGCUGGCGGCGUGCUUAACACAUGCAAGUCGAACGGAAACGCCCGGCUUUUGUUGGCGCCUGGAGUGGCGAAGGGUUGAGUAACACGUGAGUAACCUGCCCUUGACUUGGGGAUAACUUCUGGUAACUGGGGCUAAUACCGGAUAGGAGCUCCUGCUGCAUGGGGUGGGUUGGAAAGUGUCGGCGGUUGGGGAUGGACUCGCGGCUUAUCAGCUUGUGGGUGGGGUAGUGGCUUACCAAGGCUUUGACGGGUAGCCGACCUGAGAGGGGGACCGGCCACAUUGGGCCUGGGAUACGGCACAGACUCCUCCGGGAGGCAGGGGUGGGGAAUAGUGCACAAUGGGCGGAGGCCAGGCGCAGCAACGCCGCGUGCGGGAUGACGGGAAUCGGGUUGUAAUCCACUGUCGCCUGUGCCGAAGAGUGAGUGACGGUAAUGGGUAAAGAAGCACCGGCUAACUACGUG
RNAcentral lists this ribosomal RNA (468 nucleotides) under uncultured bacterium. RNAcentral's name for it is "partial 16S ribosomal RNA". It matches the Rfam family "Bacterial small subunit ribosomal RNA", at positions 28 to 507 of the family's 1533-position model. The record is from RNAcentral.